ACACUGAGUUCAGUUCAGGGCAUCUAUCUUCCCUCUUCUGUUAAACUCUGGGUCAUUGAAACACAGGCUAGGGGAGAUGAUGGGAUACAAAGUGUUAGUCUAUUAAUUUAUUUCUCAGUCUAAAUUA
Small nucleolar RNA from Erinaceus europaeus (western European hedgehog), 127 nucleotides. The record is from Ensembl. NCBI's taxonomy places the organism in Eukaryota, Metazoa, Chordata, Mammalia, Eulipotyphla, Erinaceidae.